Molecule: small nucleolar RNA, 215 nt
Organism: Beta vulgaris subsp. vulgaris (sugar beet)
Lineage: Eukaryota; Viridiplantae; Streptophyta; Magnoliopsida; Caryophyllales; Amaranthaceae
Rfam family: Plant small nucleolar RNA U3
About the family: Small nucleolar RNAs (snoRNAs) are involved in the processing and modification of rRNA in the nucleolus. There are two main classes of snoRNAs: the box C/D class, and the box H/ACA class.
Source: Rfam
ACGACCUUACUUGAACAGGAUCUGUUCUAUAGGCUCGUACCUCUGUAUCCUUGAGUUCUAAGGAGACGGGAAACUAAGUCUGGUGGAUGAAUCAUGACUGCGUGAUUAGAGCGUGAUUAUUGGCUUCCACUGAUCUUCGGAUCACUGGUGCCGUAGAGGAUCGUUCCCAAGUUCUUUUGUGAGCUUUGGAUGAUCACAUGGUUGUCUGACGGACU